CCUACGGGAGGCAGCAGUGGGGAAUAUUGGACAAUGGGCGAAAGCCUGAUCCAGCAAUGCCGCGUGAGUGAAGAAGGCCUUCGGGUUGUAAAGCUCUUUUACCCGGGAAGAUAAUGACUGUACCGGGAGAAUAAGCUCCGGCUAACUCCGUGCCAGCAGCCGCGGUAAUACGGAGGGAGCUAGCGUUGUUCGGAAUUACUGGGCGUAAAGCGUACGUAGGCGGCUUGGUAAGUCAGAGGUGAAAGCCCACGACUCAAUCGUGGAACUGCCUUUGAGACUGCUUCGCUUGAAGAUGGGAGAGGUUAGUGGAAUUCCGAGUGUAGAGGUGAAAUUCGUAGAUAUUCGGAAGAACACCAGUGGCGAAGGCGGCUAACUGGACCAUUCUGACGCUGAGGUACGAAAGCGUGGGGAGCAAACAGGAUUAGAUACCCUGGUAGUCCACGCCGUAAACGAUGAUAGCUAGCUGUCGGGGCUCUUGGAGCUUCGGUGGCGCNGACUACGACAUUAAGUUAUCCGUCCGUGGGAGGUACGGCCGCGAACGUUAAACGUAACGAAAGUAGAAGUUAGACGGUCGUGUAGUUACGUUAGUCGAACGGACGACGACGAGGGAGAGG
This 614-nucleotide ribosomal RNA is filed under the name uncultured bacterium. RNAcentral describes it as "bacterial SSU rRNA". The stretch from base 1 to 518 matches the Rfam family "Bacterial small subunit ribosomal RNA", at positions 338 to 873 of the family's 1533-position model. The record is from RNAcentral.